Molecule: long non-coding RNA, 797 nt
Filed under: Monodelphis domestica (gray short-tailed opossum)
Lineage: Eukaryota; Metazoa; Chordata; Mammalia; Didelphimorphia; Didelphidae
Description: lncRNA (ENSMODG00000040953.1)
Source: RNAcentral
AUGGAUUGGACCGGUGCGAACCACGGGACGGUGGAGACGGUCUGGGGUCCAGACCCGGUUAGCCGGCUCGUUGGGGCGUUCUUGGGAGAAAUGCCCCCCCUUGUGGGCAGACAGGCGAGUGUGCUGCGAGAUGAGGGCCCUCCACGUCGAGGGUCCUGGAUCAUCCGGGCUGCUGGCCGGAGAGCAGACGCCAGGCCCAUGCCUCUCCCGAAAGGAGCUGGAAAAGGGCAGGCAGGGGUGCUGCGGACCCCCGAAGUGUCCCUGCCGGAGCCGCUGACUCGACAGGGGCCGGAUCCAGCUCCGCCGCCCCUGCCUCCAACGCCCACCCGAGCGAGCGGGGACCAGGCAGGGGUCGCAGGGCUCUCGGCUCGCGCGCGCCCAUCCAAGCAAGGAAGCGAAUUCAGCCCUUCGCUUCCUCGAAGCCUCUUGCGGCCGGGCAGGAAAAGGCAAAGUGACAUGCAGCGAGCAAGGCUGCCCACAAGAUGAACCAGGAAACACGGCUCCAGUCACUGACCCGCUUCCCACUCGGGCCGGACCGUUCGAAAGAGCAAAGCGUGCCAAAAGAUGACAGCGAAGGAGGAGGGAGAGCGCAGAGCCCAGCACGAACGUUUCUACGGUUCACAGGGGAAGACAGAUGUAACCCCGCUGCUGUGAGGGUUCCAAGAGAGCCUCAGAGACUCAAGAUGCCAAAUGCCCUCCAUAGCCAAGGAAGGGUUGCAGACAAACCCCCCUCUGUCUGUUUCCUUCACGAGCUUAUUGGGUGCGAUGCGUCUUCUGUCAAGGCACGAGACAUCUAG